RNAcentral lists this ribosomal RNA (478 nucleotides) under uncultured bacterium. Its description in RNAcentral is "partial 16S ribosomal RNA". It matches the Rfam family "Bacterial small subunit ribosomal RNA", at positions 28 to 507 of the family's 1533-position model. The record is from RNAcentral.
GAUGAACGCUGGCGGCGUGCUUAACACAUGCAAGUCGAACGGGAAACCUUUUAUUUAAGCUUCGGCAGAUUUAGCUGGUUUCUAGUGGCGGACGGGUGAGUAAUGCGUGGGUAACCUGCCUUAUACAGGGGGAUAACAACCAGAAAUGGUUGCUAAUACCGCAUAAGCGCACAGGACCGCAUGGUCCGGUGUGCAAAACUCCGGUGGUAUAGGAUGGACCCGCGUUGGACUAGCUAGAUGGCAGGGUAACGGCCUACCAUGGCGACGAUCCAUAGCCGGCGCGUGAGGGUGAACGGCGACAUUGGGAGUGGGACACGGCGCAGACUGCUGCGGGAGGUAGCAGUGGGGAAGAUUGCAAGCUGGGGGAAUGCCUGAUGCAGCGCCGCCGCGUAAAGGAAGAAGUAUCUCGGUAUGUAAACUUCUAUCAGCAGGGAAGAUGGUGACGGUACCUGACUAAGAAGCCCCGGCUAACUACGUG